This is a long non-coding RNA of Oncorhynchus tshawytscha (Chinook salmon), 2567 nucleotides long. The record is from Ensembl. Lineage: Eukaryota; Metazoa; Chordata; Actinopteri; Salmoniformes; Salmonidae.
UCCACCUGCUUGGGCGAGCGAGCUCACGAGAGAGUGUCAUGGAAAGUCCACGACUCGAUUGAAAUAAGACAAACGACGGGAAUAGUGUUGUAUUUCAAACAAGAUUACCUGAACUAUGGGACUCAUCAUAUGGCAGAGAAAACUCAGACCUGUCCUGCAUUUGGGCUGGAUUAUGUUGUCAUUAAUCAAGACUAUUAAAUUGUAUUUUAGCUGACACCAUAAAAUAAUUAAGUAAUAUGCAAUCCCAAAAAUAUCUGAAUUCGACAGUAUACAACAUAAAGCCUGGAGAGAUGGUCCUUCCCGAUAAGAGCUCGGGGCCCAAAACGGUAUUCGGGAAACGGCCCCAGAGACUCCCCUCCCCGGCCCUGUGCUGCGCCUGUGGCCUGUGCAUUAUGCUGGCGGGCAUCAACAUCACCCUGGUGGGGGCCUUUGCUUUCAAGUCCUUCAUCCCCACCAGCAACCCACCCAUCGUCAUCGGGCCCCUCCUCCUACUGGUGGCCCUGUCCUUUUUUGGGGCGUGCUGUGUGUGUGGGCGGCGGCCACCAACCCACAAUGCCGGCAAGGCCAAGGGGGACGAGAGCUGGGGUCGGACGCGGAUAGGGGCCGGCGUCACAUUUGAGAUGGAGACGAGCGAGCACACGCUGCAGGACACCACUGCUGUGCAGCUCAGUCCCACCAACUCUCAGAGCUCCUCCCACAAGUCUAGUAACUCCGCCCAUGGGGAUACCUCUGCAGUAGGGGCCUGUGAGGAUGGCCCCGCCCCCAGGGCCUGUGAUCUCGCCAGCUCAGAGGCCUAUGAUAUAGAUGUGAGACCUGAUGACCAGCUCUUGACCUCUGAGGACCAGAUCUUGACCUCUGAGGACCAGCUCUUGACCUCUGAGGACCAGCUUUUGACCUCUGAGGACCAGCUUUUGACCUCUGAGGACCAGGCAUUGACUGCUGAUAUUGAAGAUAAGGGGAGCAUCCAGAUGACGUGACUAUACAAGCCUUGCCCAACGUAGCAUGGCUGUCUACUGGCUAUUACAUAAACUGGUACUAUAUCCUGUGUGACAAUGACCUGUGUAUCACUAUAUAUUGACUUGCCUAGUUAAAUAAAGGUUAAAUAUCCCUCUAGUACUAUAAACUGGUACUAUAUACAGUGGGGCAAAAAAGUAUUUAGUCAGCCACCAACUGUGCAAGUUCUCCCACCUAAAAAGAUGAGAGAGGCCUGUAAUUUUCAUCAUAGGUACACUUCAACUAUGACAGACAAAAUGAGAAAAAAAAUCCAGAAAAUCACAUUGUAGGAUUUUUAAUUAAUUUUUUUGCAAAUUAUGGUGGAAAAUAAGUAUUUGGUCACCUACAAACAAGCAAAGAUUUCUGGCUCUCACAGACCUGUAACUUCUUCUUUAAGAGGCUCCUCUGUCCUCCACUCGUUAGCUGUAUUAAUGGCACCUGUUUGAACUUGUUAUCAGUAUAAAAGACACCUGUCCACAACCUCAAACAGUCACACUCCAAACUCCACUAUGGUCAAGACAAAAGAGCUGUCAAAGGACACCAGAAACAAAAUUGUAGACCUGCACCAGGCUGGGAAGACUGAAUCUGCAAUAGGUAAGCAGCUUGGUUUGAAGAAAUCAACUGUGGGAGCAAUUAUUAGGAAAUGGAAGACAUACAAGACCACUGAUAAUCUCCCUCGAUCUGGGGCUCCAAGCAAGAUCUCACCCCGUGGUGUCAAAAUGAUCACAAGAACGGUGAGCAAAACUCCCAGAACCACACGGAGGGACCUAGUGAAUGACCUGCAGAGAGCUGGGACCAAAGUAACAAAGCCUACCAUCAGUAACACACUACGCCGCCAGGGACUCAAAUCCUGCAGUGCCAGAUGUGUCCCCCUGCUUAAGCCAGUACAUGUCCAGGCCCAUCUGAAAUUUGCUAGAGAGCGUUUGGGUGAUCCAGAAGAAGAUUGGGAGAAUGUCAUAUAAUCAGAUGAAACCAAAAUAGAAGUUAUUGGUAAAAACUCAACUUGUCGUGUUUGGAGGACAAAGAAUGUUGAGUUGCAUCCAAAGAACACCAUACCUACUGUGAAGCAUGGGAGUGGAAACAUCAUGCUUUGGGGCUGUUUUUCUGCAAAGGGACCAGGACGACUGAUCCGUGUAAAGGAAAGAAUGAAUGGGGCCGUGUAUCGUGAGAUUUUGAGUGAAAACCUCCUUCCAUCAGCAAGGGCAUUGAAGAUGAAACGUGGCUGAGUCUUUCAGCAUGACAAUGAUCCCGUAAGAAGCAUUUCAAGGUCCUGGAGUGGCCUAGCCAGUCUCCAGAUCUCAACCCCAUAGACAAUCUUUGGAGGGAGUUGAAAGUCCGUGUUGGCCAGCAACAGCCCCAAACCAUCACUUCUCUAGAGGAGAUCUGCAUGGAGGAAUUGGGAAGACUUACAGAAAAUGUUUGACCUCUGUCAUUGCCAACAAGGGGUAUAUAACAAAGUAUUGAGAAACUUUUGUUAUUGACCAAAUACUUAUUUUCCACCAUAAUUUGCAAAUAAAUUCAUUAAAAAUCCUACAAUGUGAUUUUCUGGAUUUUUUUCCUCAUUUUGUCUGUCA